RNAcentral lists this ribosomal RNA (455 nucleotides) under uncultured bacterium. RNAcentral describes it as "bacterial SSU rRNA". It matches the Rfam family "Bacterial small subunit ribosomal RNA", at positions 340 to 786 of the family's 1533-position model. The record is from RNAcentral.
UACGGAAGGCAGCAGUGGGGAAUAUUGCACAAUGGGCGAAAGCCUGAUGCAGCUAUGCCGCGUGUAUGAAGAAGGCCUUAGGGUUGUAAAGUACUUUCAUCGGGGAGGAAAAACAAAACUAAUAAUUUUAUUUCUUGACGUUACCCGAAAAAGAAGCACCGGCUAACUCCGUGCCAGCAGCCGCGGUAAUACGGAGGGUGCUAGCGUUAAUCAGAAUUACUGGGCGUAAAGAGCACGUAGGUGGUUUUUUAAGUCAGAUGUGAAAUCCCUGGGCUUAACCUGGAAACUGCAUUUUGAAACUGAAAUACUAGAGUAUCGUAGAGGGAGGUAGAAUUCUAGGUGUAGCGGUGAAAUGCGUAGAAUAUCUGGAGGAAUACCUGUGGCGAAAGCGGCCUCCUAAACGAAUACUGACACUGAGGUGCGAAAGCGUGGGGAGCAAACAGGGAUUAGAUACC